AGUUGGUGACCGUUUCCGUUCCGUUGUUGUUGCCGUUCAGCAGUUCAGCAACUCAAACAACUCAAAACCUAGAUCUACAACUAGAUCUGAGUUUGCCUGACUCACCUCUGUCUCUCUUCGUUUCCGGUGACACACAACACUCAAACGAUUGAUGCUGGAAAUGGGGAGGAUCGUGACUCCCACUCAGGUUCUUCUGAUGAACUACCACGAAUCCCUAUUGCACCACAAGGUAUGGGUUCUGUAGGUGAGAAGGCUGCUUCAAACAUUGUUGGUGGUGGAAGUGGAACAGGACCUUUAGGUUCUACUGCUACUCCAACAGGUUCUACUCCUGCAGCUGCAAAUUCAGGCCUUAGCGAUUCAAAAAAGUCACGACGCUACUCAUGGUGGCAUCUGAAUCUGCUUUUAGUACAGGUAAAAGAGUGUUGGAUGAAAGGAAGAGCAGACUAGCUCCAGACAUUUUGGACUGUCUCAUUUGCUUGAAAGAUUGGGAGGAUGUACACCUUGGAAUUCAAAAAUGCUCAGCUAAAGAUGAAUUCAGAGGCUAUUUUGCAGACUCUGAUAUCGAUAGUGAUUAGGGGGACCUACUGGCAUUUGGUUUGAAUUUAUUAUUCAUUUAUUCUGCUAGGGUUGUGUCUGUGGCUUAUUCAUUUUAGUAUUGUGCAUUUGUGUUUGUGGCUUAUUCAUUUCAGUAAGUGGGCUGAAGUGGAUGUUGUGGCAACUUAUGAAGGCCUUACAGGGCAACAUGAUGUUGCCCCCGCUUCAAUUUUUGGCUAUGAUGUAUUUUCUUAACUAAUAUGCUGAGCCUAAGUUUUGCUGCAUGCCUUGUGGUCUAUUUAGCUUCACUUAACUGAAGUGGAUGUUGCCUGCAUGCGUUGUGGGGUGUGUGUGUCUCCUUUUAGUCUGAAAUGAAUAAGCCACAGACACAACCCCAAUUUUUGGCUAAGUGAAGUGUGAUUGUGUUGCAACUUAUGAAGGCCUUAAUGGCAACUUAACAUUGCCGCAUCCAUUUCUGUUUCCGGCUAUGAUGAUAAAAAAAAACACUAAUGUUUGAGCCGUAUUGUUAUGAACUAUGAAGUGGUGUUGCAACUUAUGAAGGCCAUAAUGGCAACUUAACGUUGCAUCCAUUUCAAUUUUCUGCUAUGAUGAUAAAAAGAACUAAUAUCUAAGCAGAAUUCAAUUUUCUUAUUCAUUUUCCUUGUUCAUUUGGCUUUCAUAUACCUAUUUUCUGCUGGUGCUGGUGCUGGUUCUUGUUUUGUAGGACAUUGUAGACGCCAAGGACCAAACCAUGUGAAGGCUGAAGCAAAUUAAUGCCAACAAAAUGUAGAAGUGUACUUGGAUAGCUUUUGUGGUAGCUGUUUUCGAUCCAGCAAGUGCCCUUCCAACAUUCCAGAAUCCAUUCUCUCUCUCGCUCUCGAAAGGUGAACAGUGAGUCAUUGACUAUCCAAUCUCUAGUAGUUUAUGUGUUUGUAGCUUGUAUUUAGCUUGGUGGAUACCUCUAACCUGGUUUUAUGCCAAACCUGAGGUGUAACGAAGCCAGGCUAAAUAUUGAGUUUGUUUUUAGUUAGUAUAGUUAAUUU
Rhododendron vialii is the source of this 1577-nucleotide long non-coding RNA. RefSeq lists it as uncharacterized. Lineage: Eukaryota; Viridiplantae; Streptophyta; Magnoliopsida; Ericales; Ericaceae. The record is from RefSeq and is a predicted model, not a curated record. The transcript is spliced from 4 exons.